Molecule: long non-coding RNA, 4853 nt
Filed under: Sus scrofa (pig)
Lineage: Eukaryota; Metazoa; Chordata; Mammalia; Artiodactyla; Suidae
Description: lncRNA (ENSSSCG00015004371.1)
Source: RNAcentral
UGUCUUCUUUGGAGAAUUGUCUGUUUAGAUCUUCUGCCCAUUUCUGGAUGGGGUUGUUUGUUUUUUUGGUAUUGAGCUGCAGUAGGUGUUUAUAAAUUUUGGAGAUGAAUCCCUUGUCAGUCGAUUCACUUGCAAAAUUUUCUCCCAUUCUGUGGGUUUUCUUUUCAUUUUAUUUAGGGUUUCCUAUGCUCUGCAGAAACUUUGAAGUUUAAUUAAGUCCCAUUUGUUUAUUUUUGUUUUUAUUGUCAUUACUCUAGGAGGUGGAUCUGAGAAGAUAUUAAUGUGGUUUAUGUCAGAGAGUACUUGGCCUAUGUUUUCCUCAAAGCAUUCUACAGUAUCUGUUCUUAUAUCUAGGUCUUUAAUCCGUUUUGAAUUUAUUUUUGUGUAUGGUGUCAGGAAGUAUUCUAAUUUCAUUCUUUUACAUGUGGCUGUCCAGUUUUCCCAGCAUCACUUAUUUAAAGGGCUUUCUUUAUCCAUGGUAUAUUUUUGCCUCCUUUGUCAUAGAUUAGUUGACUAUAGGUGAGUGGAUUUAAUUCUUGGCUUUCUGUGUUGUUCCACUGAUAUAUAUUUCUGUCUUUGUGCCAGUACCAUAUGGUUUUGAUGACUGUAUCUUUGUAGUAUAGUCUGAAGUCAGAGAGCCUGAUUCCUCCAGCUCCAUUUUUCUUUCUUAGGAUGGCUUUGGCUAUUCUGGGUCUUUUGUGCUUCCAAACAAAUUUUGAAAUAUUUUGUUCUAGGUCUGUGAAAAAUAUCAGUGGUAAUUUGAUAGGGAUUGCAUUGAGUCUGUAGAUUGCCUUGGAUAGUGUAGUGAUUUUCAUAAUAUUGAUUCUAAAAAUCCAAGGGCAUGGUAUAUCUUUCCAUCUAUUUGUGUCACCUUUAUUUCUUUCAUCAGUGUCUUAUAGUUUCAGAGUACAGGUCUUUUGUCUAUUUAGGUAAGUUUAUUCUUAAGUAUAUUAUUCUUUUUGAUGUGAUGGUAAACAGGAUUGUUCCCUAAUUUCUCUUUCUGAUUUCUCAUUGUUAGUAUAUAGAAAUACAGUUGAUUUCUAUGUAUUAAUUUUGUAUCCUUUGACUUUGCCAAAUUCAUUGAUGAGCUCUAACAAUUUUCUGGUAGAGUCUUUAGGAUUCUCUAGGUAUAGUAUCAUGUCAUCUGCAAACAAUGAUAGUUUUACUUCUUCCUUUCCAAUUUUAAUUCCUUCUAUUCCUUUUUUUCUAUGAUUGCUAUGGCUGGGACUUCCAAAACUAUGUUGAAUAGUAGGUGUGAGAGUGGACAUCCUUGUCUUGUUCCUGACCUCAGUGGGCAUCCUUUCAGCUUUUCACCAUUGAGAAUGAUGUUAGCUCUGUGUUUUUCAUAUACGGCCUUUAUGAUGUUGAGUUAGGUUCCCUAUAUGCCCAUUUUCUGAAGGGUUUUUAUCAGAAAUGGGUGUUGAAUUUUGUCAAAUGCUUUUUCUACUUCUAUUAAGAAGAUCGUAGGAUUUUUAUUUUUCAGUUUGUUAAUAUGGUGUAUCACACUGAUUGAUUUGCAGGUAUUGAAGAAUCCUUGCAUCCCUGGGAUAAAUCCCACUUGAUCAUGAUGUACAAUCCUUUUAAUGUAUUGCUGGAUUCAGUUUGCUAGUAUUUUGUUGAGAAUUUUUGCAUCAAUGUUCAUCAAUGAUAUUGGCCUGUAAUUUUCUUUUUUUGUGGUAUCUUUGUCUGGUUUUGGUAUCAGGGUGAUGGUGGUCUCAAAGAAUGAGUUUCGGAGUGUUCCUUCCUCUGCAUUUUUUUUGGAAUAGUUUCAGAAGCAUAGCUGUUUGCUCUUUUUGAAAUGUUUGAUAGACUUUGCCUGUGAAGCUAUCUGGUCCUGGAAUUUUGAUUGUUGGAAGGUUUUAAAUCACAUUUUCAAUUUCAGUGCUUGUGAUUGGUCCAUUCAUCUUUUCUAUUUUGUCUUGGUUUAGUCUAGGAAGAUUGUACUUUGCUAAGAAUUUGUCCAUUUCUUCUAGGUUUCCCUUUUUAUUGUCAUAUAGUUGCAUGUAGUAUCUCUUAUGAUCCUUUGUAUUUCUGUGAUGUCCAUUGUAACUUCUCCUUUUUCAUUUCUAAUUUUAUUAAUUUGAGUCCUCUUUUUUUUCCUUAUUAAGUCUAGAUAAGAAUUUAUCAAUUUUGUUGAUCUUUUCAAAGAAUCAGCUUUUAGUUUUAUUGAUCUUUUCUAUGGUUUUCUUCAUUUCUGUUUAAUUUAUUUCUGCUCUGAUCUUUAUGAUUUAUUUCUUUCUGCUAACUUUAGAUCUUUUCUGUUUUUUACUCUCUAGUUGCUUUAGAUGUAAAUUUAGGUUAUUUAUUUGAGCUUUUUCUUGUUUCCUGAGGUAGGCUCGUAUUGCUAUAAACUUCCUUCUUGGAAUUGCUUUUGCUGCAUCCCAUAGCUUUUGGAGUGUUGUAUCAUUUUUGUCAUUUGCUUCUAGGUUUUUUUUUUAAUUUCCUCUUUGAUUUCUUCAGUGAUCCAUUGGUUGCUCAGUAGCAUGUUGUUUAGUUUCAACAUGUUUAUGUUUUUGCAAUUUUUUUCUUGUUGUUGAUUCCCAGUUUUAUAGCUUUGUGGUUGGAAAAGAUGCUUGAUAUGAUUUCAGUUUUCUUAAAGUUACUGAGGCUAAUGUGUGGCCCAGAAUGUGAUCAAUCCUAGGGAAUGUUCCAUGUGCACUUGAGAAGAAUGUGUAUUCUGCUGCUUUGGGAUGGAAUGUCCUAUAAAUAUCUGUAAGUCCAUCUGGUCUAAUCCUUCAUUUAGGGCCUGUGUUUCCUUGCUCAUUUUCUGUCUGUAUGAUAUGUCCAUCUGAAAGUGGGGUGUUAAAAUCCCCUCCUAUUGUGUUAUUGUAAAUUUAUCCUUUUAAAGUUGUUGGAAGUUGCCUUAUAUAUUGAGGCAAUCCUAUGUUGGGUGCAUAUGUUUUUACAGUUGUUAUAUCUUCUUCUUGGAUUGAUCCUUUGAUCAUUAUGUAAUGUUCUUCUUUGUAUCUUAUAAUAUUCUUUAUUUUAAGGUCUAGUUUUUCUAGUAUGAGUGUUGCUUCUUCAGCUUUCUUUUGAUUCCUGUUUGAAAGGAAUAUUUUCUUCCAUCCUCUCACUUUCAAUUUGUAUGUAUCCUUAGAAGUGAAGUGGGUCUCUUGAAGACAGCAUAUAUAUGGAUCUUCUUGUUUUAUCCAUUCAGCCAGCAUAUGUCUUUUGGUUGGGGCAUUUAGUCCAUCCAUUUACAUUUAAGGUAAUUAUUGAUAUGUAUGUUCUUAUUGCCAUUUUAUUAAAUGUUUUUGUUGCUCUUUUUUCUUCCUUUCUUAUCUUGUUCUGUCCUCUUGUGGCUUGAUGACUAUCUUCACUGUUCUAUUUGAGUUGAUUUUUCUUAUUUAUGUGUGUAUCAAUUACAGAUUUUUGGUUUGCAGUUACCCUGAAGUUUUAAUAUAGGAGUUUAUUUUAUUUAAUGUAGGAGAUUGUUUUAAGUUGUUGGUCUCUUAAUUGCAAAUGCAUCUCCAGUGUCCUGCAUUUCUGCCCUCCACUUUUCACAGUUUCUGAUUUUGGUAGCAUAUUUGUACAUGGAUGAUUUCCUAGCUUUACCGUAUGUAUGCCUUUACUGGUGAGCCUUGUCAUUUGUGGUAUUUUUGUUUCUAGUUGUGGCCUUUUCUUUUCUGCCUAGAGUAGUUCCUUUAGUAUUUGUUGUAAAGCUGGUUUAGUGUUGCUGAAUUCUCUCAGCUUUUGCUUAUCUGUGAAGGUUUUGAUUUCUCCUUCAAAUCUGAAUGAGAGCCUUGCUGUGUAAAAUAACCUUGGUUGUAGGUUUUUUCCUUUCAUCACUUUAUAUUGAGCAUGCCACUCCCUUCUGGCCUGCAGUGUUUCUGCUGAAAUAUCUGCUGAUAACCUUAUUGGGGUUCCCCUGUAUGUUAUUUUUUUUUUCUUUUCCCUAGCUGCUUUCAAUAUUAUAUCUUUUUAAAUUUUCUUUAUUAUUUUUUUUAGGGCUGCACCCACAGCAUAUGGAGGUUCCCAGACUAGGAUUCAGUUGGAGCUACAGCUGCCAGUCUAUGCCACAACCACAGCAACAUCAGAUCCGAGCUGCAUCUGCAACCUAUACCACAGAUAAUGGCAAUGCCCGAUCCUUAACCCACUGAGCAAGGCCAGUGAUUGAACCCACAACCUCAUGCUUCCUCGUCAGAUUCAUUUCUGCUGUGCCAUGACAGGAACUCCUUUUCAUUUAUUUAUUUUUUUUAUAUUUUCUCUGUCUUUAAUUUUGGUCAGUUUGGUUAAUAUGUGUUUCUGGGUGUUCCUCCUUGGAUUUAUUUUAUAUGGUACUCAUUGUGCUUCCUGGCUUUGAGUGAGUGGUUCCUUUUCCAUGUUAGGGAAGUUUUCAGCUAUUAUCUCUUUGAAUAUAUUUUCUGUCCCUUUCUCUUUCUCUUCUCUUUCUGGAAUCCAUAUAAUACAGAUGUUGGUGUGUUUAACAUUGUCCCAGAGUUCUCUGAGACUGUCUUCAUUUCUUUUCAAUCUUUUUUUCUCUUUUCUGAUCUGCAUCAGUGAUUUCCACUAGUGUGUCCUUCACAUCACUUAUUUGUUCUUCUGCCUCCUGUAUUCUGCUCUUAGCUGCUUCUAAUGCAUUUUUUAUUUCAGUUAUUGUAUUUUGCAUCUCUGCUUGCCUGUUUUAAAUCUUGUAUUUCUUUGCUCAGUGUUUCCUGUAAAUUAUCAAUCUUUGCCUCGAGUUUAUUUCCAAUGUCUUGCAUCAUCUUCAGCAUCAUCAGUUUAAAGUAUUUUUCGUGGGAUCUGAUAAUCUCCAGAUCACUUAACUGCUUUUCUGGUUUUUUUUUUAUUUCUCCCUUAUCUGAGUUAUAGCUAUUUGCCUUUUCAUUUUUAUAGGUUUUUGGUGUGGUCUC